RNAcentral lists this ribosomal RNA (432 nucleotides) under uncultured bacterium. Its description in RNAcentral is "partial 16S ribosomal RNA". It matches the Rfam family "Bacterial small subunit ribosomal RNA", at positions 29 to 506 of the family's 1533-position model. The record is from RNAcentral.
AGCGAACGCUGGCGGCAGGCCUAACACAUGCAAGUCGAACGAACUCUUCGGAGUUAGUGGCGGACGGGUGAGUAACACGUGGGAACGUGCCUUUUGGUUCGGAAUAACUCAGGGAAACUUGUGCUAAUACCGAAUGUGCCCUUCGGGGGAAAGAUUUAUCGCCAUUAGAGCGGCCCGCGUCUGAUUAGCUAGUUGGUGAGGUAACGGCUCACCAAGGCGACGUUCAGUAGCUGGUCUGAGAGGAUGACCAGCCACACUGGGACUGAGACACGGCCCAGACCCCCACGGGGGGGAGGAGGGGGGAAUCUGGGGAAAGGGGGAAAAGCCUGACGCAGCCAUGCCGGGUGAAUGAUGAAGGUCUUAGGAUUGAAAAAUUCUUUCACCGGGGAAGAAAAUGACGGUACCCGGAAAAGAAGCCCCGGCUAACUUCGU